CCCUUAGACGUUCUGGGCCGCACGCGCGCUACACUGACCAGUGCAACAAGCAUCCGUCCUUGGCCGACAGGCCCGGGCAAUCUUUGAACGCUGGUCGUGAUGGGGAUAGACUUUUGCAAUUUUUGGUCUUCAACGAGGAAUUCCUAGUAAACGCAAGUCAUCAGCUUGCAUUGAUUACGUCCCUGCCCUUUGUACACACCGCCCGUCGCACCUACCGAUUGAAUGGUCCGGUGAAUCUUUAGGACUGUGGCUGAGGCCUUGCCUUGUGCGGGUCUGGCCGUGGGAAUUUAGUUAAACCUUACCAUUUAGAGGAAGGUGAAGUCGUAACA
RNAcentral lists this ribosomal RNA (329 nucleotides) under uncultured eukaryote. RNAcentral's name for it is "partial 18S ribosomal RNA". It matches the Rfam family "Eukaryotic small subunit ribosomal RNA", at positions 1470 to 1796 of the family's 1831-position model. The record is from RNAcentral.